Long non-coding RNA from Equus quagga, 3296 nucleotides. RefSeq lists it as uncharacterized. Lineage: Eukaryota; Metazoa; Chordata; Mammalia; Perissodactyla; Equidae. The transcript has 3 exons. The record is from RefSeq and is a predicted model, not a curated record.
UUGUACAAAGCAGUAGGAGACUACUGAGAGGUCUUAAGCAAGGGAGCUGGGGCAACAUCAGCAUAUCUGCAUUUUAGAAGGAACGCUCAGGGUUAUCUGUGCAUGUGUCAAGUCAGAUUACGGAGAGCAGCUGGGGUAAACUGAUUCUUUCCUCCUCCUCGUCCUGUUCCGCUUCCUCCUCCUUUCCCUGCCCACAUAAGACAGCUCACACAGGCUGAGAUAACCUGCAUGAGCAUGCCUGGUGUGGUGGCUGGCACAUAGUAGGUGUCCAAUUAGCAUAUAUUAUACCCUUUUUUAAACAUCGUCCUUGAAUGAGACACCCCCUGGCAUGAAGUGCAAGUUGAGGCAGCAAUGCAGAGGGUGUGGCUGUUUGUAUUUUCUGGCUGCUGCUCAGGGUAUGGCGGACAGGAUUUAGGUCAAAGGAAGUUCCCCAGACAGUUCAGUUUGAAUCAGUCAUCUAGGGUUUCAGGGAGGGCAGGCCAAGGUCAUACUAUCUCCCCUAUUUCAUGAGGCCACUCCUCUUCAGGGUCCUGGUCUGGAAAACUUGCCAGACAUGGACGAUCCCAUUACUGUGUCCGAGUCGGCUUCCUCAUCUGUAAGAUGGGUAUGAAGCGCUUGCACUGCCAACCACACGGGGAGUUCCUGUGAGGAUCAGAGGAGGGUGAGUCACAGCUAAACAAUAGGACGUCCCUGGGGCCAGGCUUUGUCCUGUGAAGGAAGUAUCACCAUUCUCCCUACCCUGCAGGUAAAGCAAUGGAAGUUCAGAGAAGCCGUGUGAAGCUCCCAGGGCCUCGGGAGUGCUGUAACUGGCACCCUGGUCUUUCAGCCUCUGCAGGUGACACCGCAGCCUGCUCUCCUUUGAAAACCACAAACAGCUCUCUGAGCUCACAGCACCAUGCAGGCACUCCAGAAGCAUGUGGGGAAAGGUGGAGGGAGGAAGGGAAGGGGCAGGGUUGGAAGUCUGAGGAAUUCUUGCCUAAUGCCUUCAGACCCCACCCCCAACCAACUUAGAGUUGUCUGCGCCACGCCCUCCGGAAACGCUUCCCCGCCCCAGAGAAAAGUGACCUGUCACCUGUCUGACUCCUCACAGGGCUGCGGCUGGUGAGGGCCCAGCCUGAGUCUGGGUCAUGGUGGUAUCUCCAGGCCCUAGUACAGUGCCUGGCACUCAUUCAGUAUUUGUGAAUAAAUUUCUUCUGUUGCUGGCCUGGAUUUCCUGCCCAAGCUUUCCUGUUGGUCAACGGGUCUAAGGAGCCGGGUCUUUCGUCAGCUGGGAAGGUCCUGCAAGGUUGUUGGGCACAUGCUGAUGGAUGACCAGUGAGAGGUCCGUGUGCCAGCUCUGAGCCCAGCCUCCCACACCCCCUCACUGCUGGGGGAACUCAGAAGGCUGGGAUGGCCCAUCCGCCCUGCUCUUCUCCAUGGGACCUGACGCUGGUGAGCUGAGCACAGGGCCCCCGCGUCACAUGAGGAAGCCUAAGGGGUUGCUGAGUAGACAAAGGUGCGUGCGUGAGCCAUCGUGUGUGCCGUGUGUGCCGGUGGCUUGAGUCGGGCCCACCUGGCUGAUAGCUGGUCGACAAGUCACAUGAGAACCAGAACAAUGCUCCGUCAGGUUGAGCAACCAGCUUCCCUUCCUCGCCUCCGGCAAGAGCUGGGCCAGGGAAAGUGAAGCAACCUGCUGGGGCCUCCGCGGGGUGGGCGUGGGCGGGGACCUGCCGGGAACCGGCGGCUGGACCAGUUUCCAUUGCUCCCGGACAGGAUGCAACCCCGUGACUCGGGCGGAGGCAGGAGAAACGCACGCCCUGGGCGCAUCUCUGUGUCCUCCAGGGCGACACUGGCUUUGGCAAUGAUACGACUGGGGGCUCUAGGUCAGCGGUCACCGGGCGUGCGACUUCCGGCUGCUCCAUCAGGCGAGCGGGCGGGGCAGCAGCGAAUCAGCUGACAGGUUCUGGAGAAGCUUCCAGCCGGCUGCUCUGUUGUUCUCUGAAUGCAGACCGUGGUGGAGCCCUGUCUUGGCCCGCAGCCGUUAGGAUAUUUCUCAGGGAAAGCCCUUGGACCAAGAAGUCUGUUUUUUCUUUGGAAACUAUGAGACUCUCUGCAAAAACAAAGGAAUUUGGAUUCUGUUCAGGAAAAAUGUAACCUACAAACAAAUAGCCUUGGAAAAUCUGUGCCUCCCCCUCGGUGCCUGGGUCAGGCACAGGGACAGCCCCACCCCCGGGCUGCUUUCGCGCUGGAGGCCACCUCCUUUUUCCUCUUCUGUGUGUUGUCUCUGGCUGCCCAGAGGGCAGUGCCUCCUCUCCAUGCCUUCCCCUGCCCUGCCGCCCAGGGCCCCUGUCUCUGCAGUGCCCUUGAUCUGGUUGGAAUGCUCUUCCCUUCCCUGGCUGCAACCCUUCCUCAUUCUUUAAGACCCAGUUCCAAUGUCUCCCCUCCGGUUCUGAGUUCCCCAGGUGGCUAGUUGCUCUGCUAUUAUGUUGCUCUGAAUAAUUUCAAAUUUAAAUAUACUUCCCUUUUCUUUCAGAUAGCAAUCCCUGAUUUUAUUCUUUUAAGAAAUAUGGUAAUAAUACUGACUGCCACUCUUAAACUCUUGCUAUGUGCCAAGCGGGGUUGUACAUUAUGGUACCCACUGCAUGCGCAAAGUGAUUAGGAAAAAACUGGCACAUAGUGAGGAGUCAGUAAAAGUUACUUCUUAUUAUCCUUAUUUUAUCUUAAUUCUCGCAUAACACUUGCAGCAAGUAAGAUUUGUCAUGCACAUUAUGAUGAUCGGGUUCCUCGUCUGUGAGCUCCUUGACGGUGGGGACUGUGUCUUCUUGCUUGUCCAAGUCUGUGGACGUGCAAAGGGUGUUUGGAUGAAUUCAAGAAAGGAAGAGUGGAACAUUUAGCAUGUCUCCGUUGGUCUCCUGGGACCGCCGUAACACAUCACCACGCAUUCCUGCUGGCUUGGAGCAAUAGGAAUUUCUUCUGUCACAGUUCUGGAGCCUAGAAGUCCAAAACCAAGUUUUGAGCAGGGCCACGCUCCCUCUGAAGGCUCUCGGGGAGAGUCCUCGCUGUCUCUCCCAGCCUCUGGAGGUGGCCGUAGUCCUUGGUGUCCUCGACUUGCAGCUCUAGCAUCUAACUUCUGCCCCCAUCUUCCCAGGGUUUUCUCCCUCUGUGUCUUGACUUUGUCUCCGUCUGCGCAUAUGUCUCCUCUGUUUUCCCUUCUUGUAAGGAGUUAGUUUUCCAAAUCUACAAUUUUCCUUUCAGUAUAACCUCAUCUUAAUUGUGUCUGCUAUGACCCUAUUUCCAAAUAAAGUUACAUUCUGAGA